CGGAGGGUGCAAGCGUUAUCCGGAUUUAUUGGGUUUAAAGGGUCCGUAGGCGGAUCCGUAAGUCAGUGGUGAAAUCUCACAGCUUAACUGUGAAACUGCCAUUGAUACUGCGGGUCUUGAGUAAGGUGGAAGUGGCUGGAAUAAGUAGUGUAGCGGUGAAAUGCAUAGAUAUUACUUAGAACACCAAUUGCGAAGGCAGGUCACUAUGUCUUAACUGACGCUGAUGGACGAAAGCGUGGGGAGCGAACAGGAUUAGAUACCCUGGUAGUCCACGCCGUAAACGAUGCUAACUCGUUUUUGGGCUUUCGGGUUCAGAGACUAAGCGAAAGUGAUAAGUUAGCCACCUGGGGAGUACGUUCGCAAGAAUG
This 368-nucleotide ribosomal RNA is filed under the name uncultured organism. RNAcentral describes it as "bacterial SSU rRNA". It matches the Rfam family "Bacterial small subunit ribosomal RNA", at positions 526 to 896 of the family's 1533-position model. The record is from RNAcentral.